GCACGGAGUUAGCCGGUGCUUCUUCUGCGAGUAACGUCACAAUUGACACGUAUUAGGCGCCAACCUUUCCUCCUCGCUGAAAGUGCUUUACAACCCGAAGGCCUUCUUCACACACGCGGCAUGGCUGCAUCAGGGUUUCCCCCAUUGUGCAAUAUUCCCCA
This 161-nucleotide ribosomal RNA is filed under the name uncultured bacterium. Its description in RNAcentral is "partial 16S ribosomal RNA". The record is from RNAcentral.